RNAcentral lists this long non-coding RNA (257 nucleotides) under Elaeis guineensis (African oil palm). Its description in RNAcentral is "long non-coding RNA (EGUI_LNC054250)". The record is from RNAcentral. Lineage: Eukaryota; Viridiplantae; Streptophyta; Magnoliopsida; Arecales; Arecaceae.
UAGGGCAUGUUUUAUACUUGUUGGGCAGUCUUUAUAACCAAUCAUAUAUUAUGUGUCCAUGAUUUAUCUUAAAAAUUAACAAAGAUGAUUUUGUAUAUUCUCAAGGUGUUGAGAAUUUGAGACAUACAUCAUUAGUAGUUAAUUUCUAAAUGCUCCCGAUCGAAGGAUCAUCAUGGAGGACAGUGAUCAAUCCAUUCAAGAUCAGUGUAUGGAUCACUUCUUUUCAGGGCAGAUGAGUCUCGAGUCUGCGGUAUAGA